This 484-nucleotide ribosomal RNA is filed under the name uncultured bacterium. RNAcentral's name for it is "partial 16S ribosomal RNA". It matches the Rfam family "Bacterial small subunit ribosomal RNA", at positions 28 to 507 of the family's 1533-position model. The record is from RNAcentral.
AUUGAACGCUGGCGGCAUGCUUUACACAUGCAAGUCGAACGGCAGCGCGGGCUUCGGCCUGGCGGCGAGUGGCGAACGGGCGAGUAAUGCAUCGGAACGUGCCCAGUAGUGGGGGAUAGCCCGGCGAAAGCCGGAUUAAUGCCGCAUACGACCUGAGGGUGAAAGCGGGGGACCGAAAGGCCUCGCGCUAUUGGAGCGGCCGAUGUCGGAUUAGCUAGUUGGUGGGGUAAAGGCUUACCAAGGCGACGAUCCGUAGCUGGUCUGAGAGGACGACCAGCCACACUGGGACUGAGACACGGCCCAGACUCCUACGGGAGGCAGCAGUGGGGAAUUUUGGACAAAGGGGGCAACCCUGAUCCAGCCAUGCCGCGUGCGGGAAGAAGGCCUUCGGGUUGUAAACCGCUUUUGUUCGGGAAGAAAUCCUCUGGGCUAAUACCCCGGGGGGAUGACGGUACCGGAAGAAUAAGCACCGGCUAACUACGUG